RNAcentral lists this long non-coding RNA (3290 nucleotides) under Homo sapiens (human). RNAcentral describes it as "non-protein coding lnc-DYNLT3-2:1". The record is from RNAcentral. Lineage: Eukaryota; Metazoa; Chordata; Mammalia; Primates; Hominidae.
GAACUGGAGAGAUGGCACCCCAGCGAGGGCCACCAUGGGGGACCAGAGGCCGCGGGACCGGCCGAGGUCCCCGGGCAUGGACUGCAAGCCCUGGUACUGUGACAAACCGCCUUCCAAGUACAUCGCGAAGCGUAAGCACAGGCGCCUGAGGUUCCCGCCAAUGGACACCCAGAACUGGGUAUUUGUAAAGGAGAGCAUGGACAGCUUCCACUAUGGCUGUCCGUCUCCCGAAGAUAUGCUCAUUUGUAGACUUAACGAGUUCUUACUCCCCAAAAUCUCUCACAGAGGUCCCCAAGCUGACCCGAAAAGCAGGCAGAAAAAGCUGCUCAAGAAAGUGGCCCUGUUUUCCAAGCUCUUGCCAGCCCAGCCAGCAUGGAAGGCAUUUGUAGAGGAAGCCCAGCUGAUGGCCAAGCAUCCCUUGGCCAUGUACCCCAAUCUGGGAGAAGAUAUGCCUCCAGAUCUCCUACUACAGGUGCUGAAACCGCUGGAUCCUGAGAGGCAGCUGGAGGACGCAUGGGCUCGUGAGGGCUGGAAGAAGACAACCAAGGCACCCACCGAGCCUGGUAAAUACCCCUGUGGGGAAUUCUGCCCGAGGCCUCCUGAGACUCAGGUGUUCCAUCUCCACCCGGAGCCUCCCAAGACUCCGGUGUCCAGUCUCACCCAGAGCCUCCUGAGACUGGAGUGUCCUAUCUCUGCCCAGAGCCUCCCAAGACUCAUUGGGUCUCCAGCCUCUGCCCGGAGCCCCCCGAGACUGGAGUGUCCCAUCUCCGCGCAGAGCCUGCCAAGACUCGUCGGGUGUCCGGUCUCCGCCCGGAGCCUCUCGAGACUGGAGUGUCCCAUCUCUGCCCGGAGCCUCCCGGGACUCGCGUAUCUCAUCUCUGCCCGGAGCCUCCCAAGACUCUUCAGGUGUCCAGUCUCUGCCCGGAGCCUCCCAAGACUCGUCGGAUGUCCAGUCUCCACCCGGAGCCUUCCAAGACUGGAGUGUCUCAUCUCCGCCUGGAGUCUCCCAAGACUCGUGGGGUGUCCAGUGUUCUCCCGGAGCCUCCCAAGACUCGUCGGGUGUCCAGUCUCUGCCCAGAGCCUCCCAAGACUGCAGUGUCUCAUCUCCGCCUGGAGCCUCCCAAGACUCGUCGGGUGUCCAGACUCUGCCCGGAGCCUCCCAAGACUGGUCGGCUGUCCAGUGUCCGCCCGGAGCCUCCCAAGAAUCGUCGGGUGUCCAGUCUCUGCCCGGAGCCUACCAAGACUGCAGUGUCUCAUCUCUGCCCCAAGCCUCCCAAGACUCAACGGGUGUCCACUCUCCACCCGGAGCCUCCCAAGAUUCUUUGGGUGUCCAGUCUCUGCCCAGAGCCUCCCAAGACUCGUCGGGUGUACAGUCUCCGCCCAGAGCCCCCCAAGAUGCAGGUGUCCAGCCUCCACCCGGAGCCCCCCAAGACGGAGGUGUCCAGUGUCUGCCCAGAGCCUCCUGAGAUUGGAGUGUCCCAUCUCCACCCGGAACCUCCCAAUACUCAUCGAGUGUCCAGUCUCCUACUACAGGUGCUGAAACUGCUGAAUCCUGAGAGGAAGCUGGAGGACGAAUGGGUUCAUUGUGAGGGCCAGGAGAAGACAACCAAGGAACCCACUGAGCCUGGUAAAUACCCUUGUGGGGAAUUCUGCACGAGGCCUCCCGAGUCUCAGGUGUCCCAUCUCUGCCUGGAGCCUCCCAAGACUCCAGUGUCCAGUCUCUGCCCUGGGCCUCCCAAGACUGGAGUGUCUCAUCUCUGCCCAGAGCCUCCCAAGACUCAGGUGACCAGUCUCCACCCAGAGCCUCCUGAGACUGGAGUAUCCCAUCUCCACCCAGAGCCUCCCAAGACUCGGAUGUACAGUCUCCACCUGGAGCCUCCCGAGACUGGAAUGUCCCAUCUCUGCCCAGAGCCUCCCAAGACUCUGGUGUCCAAUCUCCACCUGGGGCCUCCUGAGACUGGAGUGUCUCAUCUCUGCCUGCAGCCUCCCAAGACUCCAGUGUCCAGUCUCUGCCCGGGGCCUCCCAAGACUGGAGUGUCUCAUCUCUGCCCACAGCCUCCCAAGACUCUGGUGUCCAGUCUCCGCCUGGGGCCUCCUGAGACUGGAGUGUCUCAUCUCUGCCCAGAGCCUCCCAAGACUCGGGUGUCCAGUCUCUGCCCAGAGCCUCCCGAGACUGGAGUGUCCCAUCUCUGCCCGGAGCCUCCCGAGACUCAUCGGGUGUCCAGUCUCCGCCCGGAGCCCCCCAAGAUGCAGGUGUCCAGUCUCUGCCCGGAACCUCCCAAGACUGUAGUGUUCCAUCUCCGCCCAGAACCUCCCAACCUCCCAACACUAGUUGGGUGUCCAGUCUCCUACUACAGAUGCUGAAACUGCUGGAUCCUGAGAGGAAGCUGGAGAAGGCAUGGGCUUAUUGUGAGGGCCGGGAGAAGACAAUCAAGGAACCCACCAAGCCUGGUAAAUAGUCUUGUAGGGAAUUCUGCCUACGGCUUCCAGAGACUCAGGCAUCCCAUCUUUGCCCUGAGCCUCCCAAGACUCGUCAGGUGUCCAGUCUCCGCCCGGAGCCUCCCAAGACUAGAGUGUCCCAUCUCUCCCCAGAGCCUCCCAAAGCUCCAGUGUCCCAUCACUUCUUGGAGCCUCCCAAGAUUCGAGCGUCCUGUCUAAAAGAACUGCUUCAGGAAGAUACACCAAGCACAACAGAAUGUGUUUCUGACUCUCUUCAACAUAGAUACACAUCGAGAAAAAUGCAUGACUUCAAGUGGGCUCGAGACAUGGGAGUUGAUGAAGAAUCCAUCAGGAAUCUGUUUGACUUUACCCCCAAGUGGAGAGCAACCUAUGAAGACCAACAGAUUAAGAAGAUAAAAGAAUGGGUCUCAGAGCUGCAAUACAGAAUAAAGCUAGAUGAAAUGGAUGAGGUCGAAUCCUCACAGGAAAAAGACUGGGACAGGAAACUCCAGAUGGCACCGAAUUCUUACACUGCACAGUGUGUGAAGAUGAGGUAUGGAGUAUGGUACCUUAAGCCUAAGCUGGGGAAAAAGCUAAGAAGUGAUCAACCUUUGAUUGACCCCAAGCUCUUACUUGAAAAGCCAGAUGAACCCGAUAUUCUUGACGAUCUUUAUGGACCAAUUGCCUUUAAGGAUUUCAUUCUAAGCAAGGGCUAUGAAAUGCCUGGCAUCAUUGAAAGGCUGUGUGCCAGGAAGGGAUGGACUUAUGACUCUGUUAAGACUCCUGUUCAACGUGCAAUGAGACUUUACAAGUAGAAAGAAGACGUCACAGACGUAUCGGAAGAAGAUUAG